AUUGAACGCUGGCGGCAUGCCUUACACAUGCAAGUCGAACGGCAGCACGGGUGCUUGCACCUGGUGGCGAGUGGCGAACGGGUGAGUAAUACAUCGGAACAUGUCCUGUAGUGGGGGAUAGCCCGGCGAAAGCCGGAUUAAUACCGCAUACGAUCUACGGAUGAAAGCGGGGGACCUUCGGGCCUCGCGCUAUAGGGUUGGCCGAUGGCUGAUUAGCUAGUUGGUGGGGUAAAGGCCUACCAAGGCGACGAUCAGUAGCUGGUCUGAGAGGACGACCAGCGACACUGGGACUGAGACACGGCCCAGACUCCUACGGGAGGCAGCAGUGGGGAAUUUUGGACAAUGGGCGAAAGCCUGAUCCAGCAAUGCCGCGUGUGUGAAGAAGGCCUUCGGGUUGUAAAGCACUUUUGUCCGGAAAGAAAUCCUUGGCACUAAUACGGUCGGGGGAUGACGGUACCGGAAGAAUAAGCACCGGCUAACUACGUG
RNAcentral lists this ribosomal RNA (486 nucleotides) under uncultured bacterium. RNAcentral describes it as "partial 16S ribosomal RNA". It matches the Rfam family "Bacterial small subunit ribosomal RNA", at positions 30 to 507 of the family's 1533-position model. The record is from RNAcentral.